GUAACGCUGAUCCUCUGGAACUUUGAGGUGUCUCAAACCGGCAUGACCCAGGGCUAGGGAACGGUUUAAAGAGCUUAGUGACCAUGCCAGCCUUAUAUAGCAUCAGCAUCUCUCUCUACCAGGCAUCUUCUUCAGCGCUGAUGCCACAGCUGAUCCUACACAGAUGGAAUGGAAGAAGGUUCAAGGAGAGGCCAGAGCCUGGCUACCAGCCAGUACUGGACUUGAAUCCAAGCUCUGCUCUUUACUAGCAACCUCAACUCCUCACCAGUGUCAUGGGAUUCCUCAGCAUCGCUGUGCUCUGUGUACUGCACAUGGAGACUCUGCUAACAGAAUAGAGGCCUCGCGAGAGGAACAUAACAUGGGUGGUACCUGAGUAAAGUACAAAGAAUGUUACUUCCAGAAGA
This is a long non-coding RNA of Mastomys coucha (southern multimammate mouse), 404 nucleotides long. RefSeq lists it as uncharacterized. The transcript has 2 exons. NCBI's taxonomy places the organism in Eukaryota, Metazoa, Chordata, Mammalia, Rodentia, Muridae. The record is from RefSeq and is a predicted model, not a curated record.